RNAcentral lists this unclassified non-coding RNA (243 nucleotides) under Hevea brasiliensis (rubber tree). Lineage: Eukaryota; Viridiplantae; Streptophyta; Magnoliopsida; Malpighiales; Euphorbiaceae. The record is from RNAcentral.
GAUUUGGCUAUUAGAAUGCUCUCUCUGUUUUUGAAUAUUUCUGUGUUGAUAUUCUUUGAUUUGAUUUUGGCUGAAUUUUGAUUUUUAUGUUUAGUAUGAUAUGUGGAUAUGAGAUUUGCCUAUGGGUGAACUUUCAAUCUUCUGAUAAUGCCAUGCAGCAAAGCUAUGGUAAAGAGUUCUGAUUCGUCUUUUUUAACAUGUUCUGGAAAUUUUCUCUCUGGUUCUCUUUGAUUUGUAAUGGGC